This 493-nucleotide long non-coding RNA is filed under the name Gorilla gorilla gorilla (western lowland gorilla). RNAcentral's name for it is "lncRNA (ENSGGOG00000044475.1)". The record is from RNAcentral. Lineage: Eukaryota; Metazoa; Chordata; Mammalia; Primates; Hominidae.
ACAAAGGUGGCUUCCAUAGGUCAUAGUGGUUAUCAGCUGUGCCUCCCUCUUAGAGGUCCUCGGAGUCCGGAGUCCUUGAAGGGAAAUCUGACACAAUGAAGCAGGUGUGAGACCGGCCCCUUUCUCCCAUGCUUUAGACAGGGCUCCAGGGACUGCUUCAGGGGAGAUGUCAGAUGGCAGCCAGACCGGGAAGGGAGGAAGAAAGCAGAGUGACAGUGAGAGGGGGAAAACUACAAGAGGAAUUGUUUGUAUGCUUGGAUCUGGACUUUUAGAGCUGGUCAGGACCUGACAGAUCCUCCAGCCCAGUUCUCCCGGCUCUCAAACACUGGUAUCAUUUGUGAUUCCCUGGAAAAUCACCAGCAGGUAAAUGAAGGAGAAAAGAAAAGAACAAAAUCCACCGGGAACCAGAGACUUCCAGGCUCCAAAGACAGGCAAUCUCCACCAGGAACUUCUUCUAAACAGCAUUGAAAAUGGGAGGAAGAUGCCAUAAAAG